RNAcentral lists this long non-coding RNA (212 nucleotides) under Sinocyclocheilus anshuiensis. RNAcentral describes it as "lncRNA (ENSSANG00000035765.1)". Lineage: Eukaryota; Metazoa; Chordata; Actinopteri; Cypriniformes; Cyprinidae. The record is from RNAcentral.
GUAAAUGAUGGAGACGUUUGACGUGACAUUGAGCUGAGAGUGCGCACAGGCUGGGAGGGAGAGACCUGGGACGCGCGAGCGUCUGUCAGCCAAUCAUCCGCUAAUCAGAGAGCUCAAAUUAAAAGAGUGCGUGUUUGGAGUCGAGGACGGGAUGAUGGCGCAGAGCCGGAGUGAUUGUGAACUUCACCAAUGUUUACUGGAAAAGGAGAGAG